RNAcentral lists this ribosomal RNA (729 nucleotides) under Lactarius camphoratus. RNAcentral's name for it is "eukaryotic LSU rRNA". The stretch from base 268 to 421 matches the Rfam family "5.8S ribosomal RNA". Lineage: Eukaryota; Fungi; Basidiomycota; Agaricomycetes; Russulales; Russulaceae. The record is from RNAcentral.
GAAGUAAAAGUCGUAACAAGGUUUCCGUAGGUGAACCUGCGGAAGGAUCAUUAUCGUACAAAAUGUGUGAGGCAUGCAAGGGUUGUCGCUGGCUUUCAACGUUGUUGCACGCCGGAGCGUGUCCUCUCACAUAACACAAUCCAUCUCACCCUUUGUGCACCACCGCGUGGGCACCCUUUGGGAUCGGACCGAUCUCUUAGGGGACUCGCGUUUUCACACAACACCCUUUUAAAAAGUGUAGAAUGACCUCAUUUAUGCGAUCAAUACAACUUUCAACAACGGAUCUCUUGGCUCUCGCAUCGAUGAAGAACGCAGCGAAAUGCGAUACGUAAUGUGAAUUGCAGAAUUCAGUGAAUCAUCGAAUCUUUGAACGCACCUUGCGCCCCUUGGUAUUCCGAGGGGCACACCCGUUUGAGCGUCGUGAAAUUCUCAACCUCCUCGGUUUCUUCUGGAGACUGAAGGAGGCUUGGACUUUGGAGGCCUUUGCUGGCGUGUCUCGCCAGCUCCUCUUAAAUGAAUUAGCGUGGUCCUCUUUGCCGAACCUCGACACGUGAUAAGAUGCUUCCGUGUCUCGGUUUCUGGCUCUGUUGCUUUUGGGACCCGCUUCUAACCGUCUGGACCUUGCGUCGAGACAAUGUUCGAGCUCGUAUCCCUUCUUGGGAAACCCCCUCGACCCCACGAACCCUUGGCCUCAAAUCGGGUGAGACUACCCGCUGAACUUAAGCAUAU